This is a long non-coding RNA of Gasterosteus aculeatus aculeatus (three-spined stickleback), 2467 nucleotides long. The record is from Ensembl. Lineage: Eukaryota; Metazoa; Chordata; Actinopteri; Perciformes; Gasterosteidae.
CGAAAAUCUAACGGCGCGAAGUGGCGAAAGACAGUAAGAGGAGAGUAUCACAUGGAUGAAGCCAAGCGACCCCAGCGGUGCUGAAAAGAGGAGGAAGAAGGAAGAAAAACAAACAUUUACGUCAAAGUUGCAGAAAGUGACAAGUUUCUUCACUGCUCCUGCGGCAGCGGCCAGCAGCAGCAACCCACCACCUGCUCAACCGACGUGGACACCUGAGGAGGCUCCGUCCUGUGCAAAUGAACAAAAUGAGACAGGGAUGUGCUGUGAGAGCUCUCCAGCAUCAUCCACUGUACUUGCAGAACAUGAUCCAGCACUCUGGCCAAAACAGCUGUCGGAUAGUGCACGAUGCUCAAUAGUGGAGAGAGGAGCACUUCAGGGAGCAAUUAGGGGUCUUGCUCAGGGACACUUCGACAUGGAACAUGGGGCAGCCUGGACGCGAACCACCAACCUUGUGCUUCCCAGCACACCGUCUCUAACCCCUGCGCCACGACGACCCCAGGAUCUUAUGAAUGAAGACGGCCACAGAAUUACCAGCAGCAACUACAUGCAGAUGAAAAAUGGAGAACGGCUGUGCAGAUCAUGGCUUGUCUACAGUGAAAAGAGGGCCCCAUGCCUGCCUUUGCCUUGGGCCCCAAAUUUCUUAAAUCUGCCACUGCACAUGGUUGAGAAGCAUUGAGGUGAAAUGAGGCUGCUCUCUGUAUAUUGAUCUAUCAGACUUCAAUAAGUUUAUCAAUAUUUUCGAUUAUUUUAGAGCUGAGUCUAAACUGAUGCUUCCCAGCCACAUCUUUUAGAUGAUUUGUUUAAGGAAACGUUUCAAAACCCACCAAAUCAACUUUGUCUUGAUUGUUUUUGAGGAUUCGGCUCAGGUGAUUUAUUUCUAAAUCGGCUCAGGCACCGAAAUUCUGUUGCAUCGUAUACGAACCGGUGCCCUACUUCUAAAUAUCUCUGCGUAAACAUUGGAUCGCUUAGUGUAACGAGAAAGAGGCCUCUCAUAGCAACAACCUCACAGUAAGUUAUCACCAACUACACACUCAAAAAUAGAGGUACCAGUUUGUACCUAAAUCGGUACAAAUGCUUGUCGCCGGGGAGGUACCCUUUUGAGAGACAAUUGUGUACCUUUCAGUCCUGGUCCAUUUAUGUACCUUAUCAAAUUGUACCAGUUAAAGUACAGUUGUGUACCCUGCAAGACAUAAAUGUACCUUUAAUCUAUAAGGUACAGCAAUGUACCACAUUGAAAGGGUACUUUCCUGUACUUUAAAAGGGUACCCCCCAGUGACAAGCUAUUCUGGACUUUAAGGAGACAAAAAUGUACCAGAAUUGUCUACACAAUAAUUGCUUCUUUACCAUUUAUUAACAUCAAUGAAAAUGUAUGUUUUGAGAUAAACAUGGCAGCAUUUAUAGUGUAAAAAUCUUAAUUCAUUAAAUUCUAUAUAGCUACAUAUAAAAUGAAUCAAUGUCAAUGCAUAACAUUACAAUAUGUAAAGAUUGCAGUCACAUUAACAUGAGGCAGAAUACUUCAAAAAGUAACACACAUUUAGAUAGAACAUACUUACACAGAAUACCUCAAGGAAACAUACUAACAUCGACUAAAUAUGUGUCGAGAGCUUGAUGGUCCAACUGAUUUCCUGGACUGAGUCAAAUCCAGUCAUUGUCAACUUUGACGUGGUAAGCAUGGAAGUGAUUGUCAUAAGAGCAAGGCAGUAACAGUUUCCCACACAACACCCACAAAGUCUCAACGUUCAGAAUGUACUUAAUUUUCAAGAAUAAAGGGAUGGCUUCAGUGUGUACAUGACCUACUACAAAAACAUCCUCAAGGCCGUAUUUGACACCAUUGACAGAUAGAGAUGAAACACGCUGAAGCACUUUAUCCUGAAACUGCACAUUUUUAAAACGUUGGUUUAAUUUCAGAGAGUUCUGUAAAUCACGUGGCAGAGAUGAAAACUAUGUGAAGAAAACUCCCAGCAUUGCUUCAUUUGAUGACGGUUGCUGAGAGUCAGAGUUAUGUUUACAAAGUUCCUACAUUUACUGGCAAUAUUAUUGAAAUAUUGCCAGAGGUCUUCAGAUGUCAGAGUUUAUUCCAAAAAUACUCUUUUUAAGGUUAUUUUAUUCUGUUAUGUUUUCAAUGAAAAGUGCUAUUGGAACAGAAAUUCAGUUACACAUGAAAGCAUAAAUAUUUGCCUAAUCAAUAGAGCUGAAGUUGUCAUAAGUGGGACCAUUAGAAGAAUUAAAUGAGAGGCAGAGACUGUCAGGAAGGAUAUAUAUGAAAUAACAAAUGUAAACAAAAAGAACAUUAACAAUAAAUAAUAUAAAAAUGUAAAAACAACCUGAAAAUACAUUUGAAAAACUGAACUAGUCCCACUCUUUGAACAAAGCAUUGACUUUGUAGCCCUUGUCAAUAAACUGUGCCACAAACAUUUCGUAGUCACUUCUGUACUGGAAUUCCACGACAAAGACAUUUAUCGGUGCG